UACGUAGGGACCAAGCGUUGUUCGGAUUUACUGGGCGUAAAGGGCGCGUAGGCGGCUUGACAAGUCACUUGUGAAAUCUCUGGGCUUAACCCAGAACGGCCAAGUGAUACUGUCGAGCUAGAGUGCAGAAGGGGCAAUCGGAAUUCUUGGUGUAGCGGUGAAAUGCGUAGAUAUCAAGAGGAACACCUGAGGUGAAGACGGGUUGCUGGGCUGACACUGACGCUGAGGCGCGAAAGCCAGGGGAGCAAACGGG
RNAcentral lists this ribosomal RNA (253 nucleotides) under uncultured bacterium. RNAcentral describes it as "partial 16S ribosomal RNA". It matches the Rfam family "Bacterial small subunit ribosomal RNA", at positions 524 to 776 of the family's 1533-position model. The record is from RNAcentral.